AAUAUCUUCUACCGAAUAUCGGGUGACCGAGACCCGACCCAUUUUGGAAUCGGGUUUCAAAUGCAUCUUUGAAAGGACGCUAAGAGUCAGUGAAGUCAUAAGCUGAAACACGAAACAUCGCUGCUUUUGCAUCAAUGGCGGAUCUGAAGACUGAUACUUUGCGCACCUACGGUUACAUUCUUCUCUACAUUGCUCUCUCCAGUGGUCAAAUCUUCUUCAACAAGUGGGUUUUGUCCUCUAAGGAAAUUAACUUCCCCUAUCCUUUGGGGUUGACUCUACUUCACAUGGUCUUCUCCUCCGUUUUGUGUUUUUCGUUAACCAAGAUUCUGAAGGUUAUGAAGGUUGAUCAGGGAAUGACUCCUGAAGUAUAUCUUACUUCCGUAGUGCCAAUUGGGGCCAUGUUUGCGAUGACUCUUUGGCUGGGAAAUACUGCCUACCUGUACAUUUCUGUUGCUUUUGCACAAAUGCUGAAGGCAGUUAUGCCUGUAGCUGUUUUUGUGCUUGGAGUAGCUGUAGGACUUGAAGUAAUGAGCUGUAGAAUGCUAUUAAUCAUGUCUGUGAUUAGUUUUGGCGUCCUAGUAGCUUCUUAUGGAGAGAUAAACAUAAACUGGGUUGGAGUAGUUUACCAAAUGGGAGGUGUUGUUGGCGAAGCUCUGAGACUUAUCUUCAUGGAGAUUUUUGUUAAGAGGAAAGGUCUUAAGUUGAAUCCUAUAUCCGUGAUGUAUUAUGUUAGUCCCUGCAGUGCAAUUUGUUUAUUCCUUCCAUGGAUAUUUCUGGAGAAAUCGAAGAUGGAUGAACAUGGACCAUGGAACUUCCCUCCUAUUUUGCUCAUCCUCAACUGCCUUUGUACUUUUGCUCUAAACUUAUCAGUUUUUCUUGUUAUUACACAUACAAGUGCUUUAACCAUUCGUGUGGCCGGAGUUGUCAAGGAUUGGGUGGUUGUCUUAGUGUCUGCUAUUCUGUUUGCUGAUACAAAGUUAACAAUGAUCAAUUUGGUUGGUUAUGCUAUUGGUGCUGAGAUAAGUUUGCUCCACUAAACGAUCCGAUGUAAUAGUUAUAAUAAUUCCAUUGCAGGGGUAGCAGCAUAUAAUAAUUACAAGUUGAAAAACGAAGCCUCUCGAGCCACCUCAAAUGACUCCGACCCUGAAUCUUCCCAAAGUCAAGAGUCUCAACCUUUAACAAGUAGAUAGCUGCAGUCUUUAACACGAGUUGUCCAUGCCCCAUUCAGAAGUUGACGAGACUAUGUAGUAGUUUUUACAUAAUGUAGCAAGAGGGGGCAUCAAGUGUUCAUGUAGUAGAUAGAAGUAUACGCAAGCAUUUUUUGUUCAAUCUUAAUACAAAUUCAGCUAAAUUUAGAUCGGGGGAAGCAAUGUGGCGAUCCAAUUUAGUACAUGAAGAUGUAAAAUACAAACUUCAUCCUUUAAAAAAGAGGUGCUUGGCCAUGGCAUUUGAUUUUUGAGGAAUUUGAAGUUAUUCGCAUUUCACAAUAUUUAUUUGUCUGUAGCAAUUACCAUUCAAUCUUAGCGAUUCAAUAUUUGAAGUUGAAUGAUGAAAGAUUAAAAGCCCCUCCACCCACUAUUUAUUAUUAUUAUUGGACAAUGGUCCAAUAACAGCGGUAUAUAGAGCAGUUUGUUAGACAGAUGAAAACUUGUAAAAGUAAUUUGUUUAUUUAAAAUGUAUUGAUAGCAUUCGACAUUGAGACAUUGUUUUAGUGUUGGGAAUAUUUGAUCCUAUGUAAUUUUUUUUUAUUUGCAUGCUGUCAUUGUUGUCUUUUCUGUA
RNA transcript from Vigna unguiculata (cowpea), 1779 nucleotides. It is a transcript of the gene named Nucleotide/sugar transporter family protein, with no coding region annotated. The record is from RefSeq and is a predicted model, not a curated record. NCBI's taxonomy places the organism in Eukaryota, Viridiplantae, Streptophyta, Magnoliopsida, Fabales, Fabaceae.